GAUGAACGCUGGCGGCGUGCCUAAUACAUGCAAGUCGAGCGAACAGACGAGGAGCUUGCUCCUCUGACGUUAGCGGCGGACGGGUGAGUAACACGUGGAUAACCUACCUAUAAGACUGGGAUAACUUCGGGAAACCGGAGCUAAUACCGGAUAAUAUAUUGAACCGCAUGGUUCAAUAGUGAAAGACGGUUUUGCUGUCACUUAUAGAUGGUUCCGCGCCGCAUUAGCUAGUUGGUAAGGUAACGGCUUACCAAGGCAACGAUGCGUAGCCGACCUGCGAGGGUGAUCGGCCGCACUGGAACUGAGACACGGUCCAGACUCCUACGAGAGGCAGCAGUAGGGAAUCUUCCGCAAUGGGCGAAAGCCUGACGGAGCAACGCCGCGUGAGUGAUGAAGGUCUUCGGAGCGUAAAACUCUGUUAUGAGGGAAGAACAAAUUUGUAAGUAACUAUGCACGGCUUGACGGUACCUAAUCAGAAAGCCACGGCUAACUACGUG
This 497-nucleotide ribosomal RNA is filed under the name uncultured bacterium. Its description in RNAcentral is "partial 16S ribosomal RNA". It matches the Rfam family "Bacterial small subunit ribosomal RNA", at positions 28 to 507 of the family's 1533-position model. The record is from RNAcentral.